CGGGUGAGUAACACGUGGAUAACCUACCUAUAAGACUGGGAUAACUUCGGGAAACCGGAGCUAAUACUGGAUAAUAUUUUGAACCGCAUGGUUCAAAAGUGAAAGACGGUCUUGCUGUCACUUAUAGAUGGAUCCGCGCUGCAUUAGCUAGUUGGUAAGGUAACGGCUUACCAAGGCAACGAUGCAUAGCCGACCUGAGAGGGUGAUCGGCCACACUGGAACUGAGACACGGUCCAG
This 237-nucleotide ribosomal RNA is filed under the name uncultured Staphylococcus sp. RNAcentral's name for it is "partial 16S ribosomal RNA". It matches the Rfam family "Bacterial small subunit ribosomal RNA", at positions 103 to 334 of the family's 1533-position model. Lineage: Bacteria; Bacillati; Bacillota; Bacilli; Caryophanales; Staphylococcaceae. The record is from RNAcentral.